This 1049-nucleotide ribosomal RNA is filed under the name Mycolicibacterium helvum. RNAcentral describes it as "bacterial SSU rRNA". It matches the Rfam family "Bacterial small subunit ribosomal RNA", at positions 56 to 1124 of the family's 1533-position model. Lineage: Bacteria; Bacillati; Actinomycetota; Actinomycetes; Mycobacteriales; Mycobacteriaceae. The record is from RNAcentral.
UGCAGUCGACGGAAAGGCCCUUCGGGGUACUCGAGUGGCGAACGGGUGAGUAACACGUGGGUGAUCUGCCCUGCACUUUGGGAUAAGCCUGGGAAACUGGGUCUAAUACCGAAUAUGAUCAUGGCCUUCAUGGGUUGUGGUGGAAAGCUUUUGCGGUGUGGGAUGGGCCCGCGGCCUAUCAGCUUGUUGGUGGGGUAAUGGCCUACCAAGGCGACGACGGGUAGCCGGCCUGAGAGGGUGUCCGGCCACACUGGGACUGAGAUACGGCCCAGACUCCUACGGGAGGCAGCAGUGGGGAAUAUUGCACAAUGGGCGCAAGCCUGAUGCAGCGACGCCGCGUGAGGGAUGACGGCCUUCGGGUUGUAAACCUCUUUCAGCAGGGACGAAGCGCAAGUGACGGUACCUGUAGAAGAAGGACCGGCCAACUACGUGCCAGCAGCCGCGGUAAUACGUAGGGUCCGAGCGUUGUCCGGAAUUACUGGGCGUAAAGAGCUCGUAGGUGGUUUGUCGCGUUGUUCGUGAAAACUCACAGCUUAACUGUGGGCGUGCGGGCGAUACGGGCAGACUUGAGUACUGCAGGGGAGACUGGAAUUCCUGGUGUAGCGGUGGAAUGCGCAGAUAUCAGGAGGAACACCGGUGGCGAAGGCGGGUCUCUGGGCAGUAACUGACGCUGAGGAGCGAAAGCGUGGGGAGCGAACAGGAUUAGAUACCCUGGUAGUCCACGCCGUAAACGGUGGGUACUAGGUGUGGGUUUCCUUCCUUGGGAUCCGUGCCGUAGCUAACGCAUUAAGUACCCCGCCUGGGGAGUACGGCCGCAAGGCUAAAACUCAAAGAAAUUGACGGGGGCCCGCACAAGCGGCGGAGCAUGUGGAUUAAUUCGAUGCAACGCGAAGAACCUUACCUGGGUUUGACAUGCACAGGACGUGCCUAGAGAUAGGUAUUCCCUUGUGGCCUGUGUGCAGGUGGUGCAUGGCUGUCGUCAGCUCGUGUCGUGAGAUGUUGGGUUAAGUCCCGCAACGAGCGCAACCCUUAUCUUAUGUUGCCAGCGC